This 292-nucleotide ribosomal RNA is filed under the name uncultured bacterium. RNAcentral's name for it is "partial 16S ribosomal RNA". It matches the Rfam family "Bacterial small subunit ribosomal RNA", at positions 505 to 796 of the family's 1533-position model. The record is from RNAcentral.
GUUUCAGCAGCCGCGGUAAUACAGAGGGUGCGAGCGUUGUCCGGAAUCACUGGGCGUAAAGGGCGUGUAGGCGGCCUGUUAAGCCGCGUGUGAAAGCCCGGGGCUCAACCCCGGAACGGCACGCGGGACUGGCGGGCUCGAGCGUGGUAGAGGCGAGUGGAAUUCCUGGUGUAGCGGUGGAAUGCGUAGAGAUCAGGAAGAACACCGGAGGCGAAGGCGGCUCGCUGGGCCAUGGCUGACGCUGAGGCGCGAAAGCGUGGGGAGCAAACAGGAUUAGAUACCCUGGUAGUCC